AACAAACGCUGGCGGCGUGCCUAACACAUGCAAGUCGUACGAGAAAGGGUCCUUCGGGACCUGAGUAAAGUGGCGCACGGGUGAGUAACGCGUGGAUAAUCUGCCCUUCAGUUGGGAAUAACUCAUCGAAAGGUGGGCUAAUACCGAAUGAUACUGCAAAACCUCGGUAGAGCAGUCAAAGAGAGCCUCUGCUUGCAUGCCCUUGCUGAAGGAUGAGUCCGCGUACCAUUAGCUAGUUGGUAGGGUAAUGGCCUACCAAGGCGACGAUGGUUAGCUGGUCUGAGAGGAUGAUCAGCCACACUGGAACUGAGACACGGUCCAGACACCUACGGGAGGCUG
Molecule: ribosomal RNA, 339 nt
Filed under: uncultured Pseudomonadota bacterium
Lineage: Bacteria; Pseudomonadati; Pseudomonadota
Description: bacterial SSU rRNA
Rfam family: Bacterial small subunit ribosomal RNA
Source: RNAcentral